Molecule: long non-coding RNA, 1263 nt
Filed under: Brassica napus (rape)
Lineage: Eukaryota; Viridiplantae; Streptophyta; Magnoliopsida; Brassicales; Brassicaceae
Description: long non-coding RNA (BNAP_LNC000280)
Source: RNAcentral
UGUCGUUAGAAAGGAUGCAAAGACAAGAGGACCAAGUAGACCUGACCCGGCUUUGAAAGCUAAGAGAGCUCCCUGGGGAAGUAGAGCAGCUGCCACCAAAACCAAAUCCGAGCUGGUAAAUUUCUCUUAACUAACAGCAUUUCAUUUUUCCUGAUUAGUUUCAUUCAUGGUUCUAAAAAAUCGGUUCAGGCAGCAAAUCAGUCUGAAAUGAUUUUCUUAAAAAUCUGAUUUAUACGAUUUCAAAUCGGUUUAAACCAGGUUAAACUGUUUUAAAUCGGCUUAAAUUGAUCUAAAUUAGUCUGAAUAUGUUAAAUUAAACAAUAAUGUUAGUACAAAUCUACAAUUUUGUCUAAUAUUUUUGUUAAUUCAUCAAAAUAGUUUUAUAAUUUAAAAUCAAAAACUAAAAUAUUAUAUAUAAAUGUAAAAUGUAUCUAAAAUAAAUCAGUAAUUCAUUAAUAGUAGCUAGUUUCUAUAAAAACACCUAAUUUACCACCUAACGAUUUCUUGAACAUGUCUCACUUGGAUUUGGUAUUUUGAUAGGAGGAAGAGAGAAAGAAGAGAAUGGAAGAACUUUUGAUUCAAAGGCAAAAGAGAAUCGCUGAGAAGAGUUCUGGUAGUAGUGUAUCAAGUCCCUUGGCCACCAAGAAAACUCCUACUGGAAACAAAACCGUGAAGACCUUGAUAAAGAAUGAGAAGACACCUGAAGCCGUGAAGGCUAAGCCGGUACUGAGAAGUUCCACCAUUGAGCGCCUUGCUGUUGCCAGGACAGCACCAAAGGAGCCACAACAGAAACCAGUAACCAAAAAAGCAUCAAAACCUGUAGUAAACAAGACAGAGAAACCUCAAGACAAGAAACCUAGUAAAAAAAGUCCGGGACUUUCUCGUGACCCAAGUCUCGAAAUCAAGGAAACAGUUGAAGAAUCACAGUCUUACUUGCCGGUGAAGCAAGCUGAUGAACUUCUUCCUCCUGGUGCUUCUUCUGUUGAUGACUUCAAAGACAUUAAAGAGAUGCAUAGCUUGCCGAAUGAAACCAUCACUAAUCAUCAGAAAGUACAAGAACAGACGAAAGUCGAUGAUGAGGAAAUAGUGAAGAAGACAUCCGUCUGUGAAGACAAGCAAGUCACUAACAACCUUUGUUCGGAGGAUGUUGAAGAAGUUAAGGCUUCACCACCUAAACCACUGUCUCCAAAGAAGUCGGUGACGUUUUCAGAGACAAACAUGGAGGAGAAGUAUUUUUUCUCACCAACGGUGUCGGAGACUGAC